Fukomys damarensis (Damara mole-rat) is the source of this 671-nucleotide long non-coding RNA. RefSeq lists it as uncharacterized. The transcript is spliced from 3 exons. The record is from RefSeq and is a predicted model, not a curated record. NCBI's taxonomy places the organism in Eukaryota, Metazoa, Chordata, Mammalia, Rodentia, Bathyergidae.
GGCAGAAGAGGACUGGGUGAUGUGGAAAGAACCACACAGAGUCCAGGAGCUGUCUAUGUCCCUCCUAGGCAAGAUACAGGAGAGAUAGACUGGACACCCUUGAAGAGAGGUGGACUUUCAGACAGGGGAGCAAGGACAGACACUAGGUCCUGGGUAUAAGUAUCGAUGCGGGGGGGAUAGUUUACAUAAUGGACAAGAAGUCCGUUAAGGUUUAGAUCUAAAGUGUUCCUCAAAAGUCCCAUGUGUGCAGAGUUAGGGCUUCUGGAAGGUGACUGGAUCGUACUUUCACGGGUUGAUCCACGGAUGAAUUCAGAGCUGAAUGUGCUGUUAAAGAGGUGAGCUUGGUUAAAGAGUGAUGCCAUUUUGUAACUGAGGAAAUAUUAAGAAGAUCGUGUAGCCAAUGUGCAGAGAGCCCAGGAAUGAACCCUAGAUGCUAUAGCUCCAGGCCAACAAAGACUCCAUCAACUCCUAAUCUCAGGUUGGAUCCUGAAGUGGUCACUGGAAAACCAAAGUGAGCACCUCCAGAGAUCAGGAAAUAUUUUGGUUUGCCGCCCAUCUAUUUCAUCCUUGGGAAUCCUGCAAUCGAUUGGCUAUCACCAAAGAUCUCAAAUGUGAAACUCAGAUCUUGUUGAAGAGCUUGUGAUACUAACCUACGACACAGCUUCCGGCCA